This 8147-nucleotide long non-coding RNA is filed under the name Homo sapiens (human). Its description in RNAcentral is "HSALNT0395419". Lineage: Eukaryota; Metazoa; Chordata; Mammalia; Primates; Hominidae. The record is from RNAcentral.
AUUUCCUCCUCGGUCCCACCCUGGUCCAUGAGUGUCGUGAGCCAGUGCCUGGCUGCCUCGGCAGAGAGCUGGGGUCGCCAGAGUGACCGCCCUCGUCCGUAGCACGGUACCAGCACGUCUCUGACGGCCAAAGUGCAGGUGCCAGGUGCCGGCCGCGAUGCUGGGAAGAUGCUGUGGCUGUCUCUCCACGAACCAAGCGACCCACAGGUCCACACCAGCACUUCUGUGGUGUCAGCACCAGUGUCGCCUGAGCCUCCCUCUCAGGCUCUUCCUGAUUUUUAUUUCCCUUUGGAUGGCAGAGUCCCUGAGUCCCCCACAGGCCAGUGACGUUCCCCGUCACCUGUGACUUCUGGCAGACGCAGAGGAAACGAGCGGCACUGUUAGGGCCUUUGUGAGCUGCAUGCAUCCCCGCCCCACCCACCUCCUGCUGUGGCCGCCCUGAUGGGCGCUGAGAUAGGGGAUGUGCCACCAGCACUGUCGCCACGUCCCAUCUCCCUCCCAGGUUCUGGUGGGGCGUGCGCUGACGUCACGGAACUGCCCGGGCUUCCCUCUGCCAUGGGCUGGAGCGCCCAGAGCCCAGAUAAGCCCCACGUGUUUCUGCAAAGGCCCCGGCCUGUCUCAGGGCGGCUUCCUGGAGCAAUUAGUAGUGUGCAUUUCAUCACCCCACUCCCUUCCCCAAAUUCCCUUUCAACAACCCCCGACUAUUUUUAAGAAUAACAAUAAUAAAACACAGAUGGAGAACCAGGAAUUGUGUCAUGGGAACUGAUAACAGGACACACUGGCACUGAGCUCCAGGAGGAACCCUGGCUGCAAACACACACCCGAGGCUGGCUCGCCCAAGGCUCUGCGGGGCCAGAGACCCAGGCAAGCAAAGGUGCCCCACAUGCCCGGCCCCGCCAGCAGCACCUCCUGACAUGGCGCCCACAGAAGGUCCCGACUCUGUCCCGUGUGGGAGCUCAGCCUCUGUAAAGACACAGGCACGCGUGGGCUCCCCGCAGGCCCUGCUCAGAGCCACGCUGAUCCUGGGCCCUGCCCAAGACGGGACCUGGCACUCAGCCACAGGACGCAGAGCCAGGCUCUCUGCAGAGGGCUCCGCCCCCAGUGUGGAAGGCACCAGAAGGAGCCCGGGCUCCCGCCCCUCCGUGUGACUCUUCACAAACACUAAGGAGGAUAACGACAGGGCCCAGGUGCUCGCAGGCUGCUCCCGGACUGGCACGCAGGACCUGACUUGUCCCAGAGUGCGCACGGCAGCUCCUCACCAGAGGCACUUUCCGUGACACUCGGGCGGCGCUGCGGGGCCUCGGCACAACGCAGAGAGAAAGACGGCUCUGUUCUGUGUGGGGGUCGCACGUCCCCACCCAAAUGCCCUAGGCUGCUGGUUGCUCAGCGGCCUCCCGCCCACUGUGCUGCUGAGUGCAGCGGCCCCCAGGAGCUCCGUGCCCUGCUGUGCUUGGCAUCUGUGGCACGAGACAGGGAUGCCCCAGAAUUCGAGACCAGUUAACUCCUUUCCCACUGCGCUGGUUCAGCCUUGCUACAAAAGACGUCUGCAAAGAGGCAGGAGGAGCCACCUGCCCAGGAGGAAGACACGGUGGGGGUUCAGGUAGCUCAGAACAGGCCCCACCUGUGGGGGAAGGGAGGCUGCCCAAUGCAUGAAGAGACUGGGCUCAGGUCCUCAUCCAACCCUGGCCAGCGGAGCUCCAAAAGAAAGGACUCCAGUCAGAAUAGUGAUUGUGGGGACGAAAGAGGCCUAAAUGAUCAACACAGGGGAAAGGUGGGGACACUACAAAGAAAUAAUGAAGCCAUGAGUGGACCCUGAAGGGUAACAGCGACAGGGACAGGAGGGAGGCCUGAGAGGUAACGACGGUGGGACGUGGGGAGGACUGAGGGGUAACGACGGUGGGACGUGGGGAGGCCUGAGGGGUAACAACGGUGGGACGUGGGGAGGACUGAGGGGUAACGACGGUGGGACGUGGGGAGGACUGAGAGGUAACGACGGUGGGACGUGGGGAGGACUGAGGGGUAACGACGGUGGGACGUGGGGAGGCCUGAGGGGUAACGACGGUGGGACGUGGGGAGGACUGAGGGGUAACGACGGUGGGACGUGGGGAGGACUGAGAGGUAACGACGGUGGGACGUGGGGAGGACUGAGGGGUAACGACGGUGGGACGUGGGGAGGACUGAGGGGUAACGACGGUGGGACGUGGGGAGGACUGAGGGGUAACGACGGUGGGACGUGGGGAGGACUGAGGGGUAACGACGGUGGGACGUGGGGAGGACUGAGGGGUAACGACGGUGGGACGUGGGGAGGCCUGAGGGGUAACGACGGUGGGACGUGGGGAGGACUGAGGGGUAACGACGGUGGGACGUGGGGAGGCCUGAGGGGUAGUAAUGAUGGGAUGUGGGGAGGCGUGAGGGGACAGGAUGGGUGAUGGUGACAGUGACAGGGUGGGGACGGCGUCUGAGGUCUCCAUCGUGUUCGUGGGACAGGCCGCCUGCAUGGCCGCCGAGAGCCGUCUUGUUCCCCGCGGGCACAGGAGGGCGCGUCGCUGAGGGUGAAAGGGAAGCGGCAUGGCCAUGGGGCUUCCCCUUGCUGCCCACGAGCACCUGAGCCUCGGUGGGAGAGCCCGUCGGGGGGCGGAAAGUUCCUCGGUGUGUCCCCCGGCCACCCAGGUUCCCGUCGGGGGCCACCACAGCCUCCUUUGCUCUCUCUGCCUGGGUCUGCGGCUGCUGAGCUCUCGGGAGGGGAGGAGGGCCGACCUCAAGAGAGCUGUCGAGGCCUAAGGAGCCAGCGGCAGCCUGCACCUCACUCCUGCGGGCUGGCGGUGCGUGUGGGCCGACCCCGUCCCAGCGCCGGGUCAAGUGUGUUCCACAAGGUCUCAGACGCUGCAGGGACGCGUGGCCGGGACCAGACACAGCCCAGGCACCCUCCAGGGCCUUCCCGCUGCCCCAUGGCAGCAGCUGACAGAGAGCGGGAUGGACAACCCUGACACCACUCAGCAGAGGACAGCACAGCAACCGAACCGCAGAGGAGGCUGUACCGCCCACCCAUCCACACCGCGGACGAGAGCCGUACGUGGAGCCGUGCUCGCCCCGCAGACACGGCCUGUGCCGUAGCCCUGAGAGGAAAGCCACGGCUUCCCCUUUCACAGGUAGCAUGUGACCCUCACGGCGUGUGGGAGACCUGAAAGAGGAAACUUACUUUGCCUAACGUCAGAUGUCCCCGCAACAGGAUGUGUUAUGCAGCCCUGCCUGGCCCUUUGUGCACCUGCUUGCUCCUUGCAACAGCCCCGGGAGCGGCAAAGGCAGUACUUACUAGGAAAGUCAUGGAAAGCUGGAUGGGCCUACUGGCUGGUGCCUGGGGGACGACUCAGACCCUGGGACAGGAGGGUUCCCACCCUGCCCAGCCAGCUCCUGGCCCCAGGAGUCCGUCCUCUCUCCUCCAAAUCUGGCCCCCGUCCCUUCCCUCUCUGGUCCUCCCUGUUUCACCUGCAGGGUGCUCAGUGCCCGGAACUUGGCGUAUCUGAGGUGGCCAGAGGCGCCAGCGGAGCAGGAUGUCGGAGCUGCCACUCGCCUUCCACUGUGCUGUGAGAGCCACCGGGACACGUCAGCAUCUCCCCUGUUCUGAAAUCAACACCGAGACACACCGAGUCCCUCCGGAGGCAUCUGCAGAGGCAGCAACGCCACGCGAGGGCUGCCGACUCUCCAGCUCCAACAUUUCGUCCGGACCUCCCGGCAGCGCAGCGGGGGAUCCCCUCCCGUGAGGGGCCCGGAGGGGCUUCGAGAAGGCUGUCGCCUGAUGGGCUCCGUCAAGUUUCCCCCUGCAGACCCUCAUUCUACCAGUUUUGAUUCCAUUUUAAAUCUGACUUCCAAGUGGCACCCCUGCCGACGGUCAAAACGCCCCCUCUCCUGGUGUGUGCCCUCCAUCCCCGCUUCCUGGGGGCAGCCGGUUUCUUGCUGUCUGGACAACAGAGCUCUGCCAAUGCCACUUAUCUCGCCCGUCCAGGACUUUAUCACCAACUGUCCUACUUCCGACUCCAGCAAAGGAGCGACAGCGAGCACGUCUGUGCUUGGCUGUGACUAACAGGGCCUCUGAAUAAAGUGAAAAUAAUCCCACUUUAAGCUGCAAGAGGAAAGACCCACAGAAGGAAAGUCCUUCACGGACGGAGACCCAGGAUCCUGAAAUGCAGUGCGUCCCUUCAACGUUCUGAGAAUAAAAAUUUAAACAUGCAAGCCCCGGGAGGAAAAGCAAUUCCUAAAACAUGGCAGAAACAACAUAAAAAAAAUCUUGCUGUUGUUUUAAAAACUGACCUAAGACCAGGCAUGGUGGCUCACACCUGUAAUCCCAGCACUUUGGGAAGCCAAGGCGGGAGGAUCACUUGAGGCCAAAAGUUCAAGACCAGCCUGGGCAAUGUAGUGAGACCACCCCCCAUCUCUACAAACAAAUGUAAAAAUUAGCCAGACAUGGUGGUGUGCACCUGUGGUCCCAGCUACUUGGGAGGCUGAGGUGGGAGGAUGGCUUGAGCCCAGGAGGUUGAGGCUGCAGUGAGCUGAGAUUGUACCACUGCAUUCCAGCCUGGGUGACAGAGCAAGACCCUGUCUCAGGAAAAAAAAUAAAAAAAUAAAAAAUAAAUAGCCUGAUCUCCUGUUUUCCAGGAAAGCCCGAGCCUUGUAAGGGUUUUUCAGAUGGUAGUGAAACAACUUGGAAGUCAGCAAUUCCUAAGGAUUUUCCAAAUCUUCUCAGACUAAAAUUCUCCCACUUUCCUGCUGCCUUGUUCAAACCAUGGUUCGGAGAUCUGUGAGCAGCCUGCCAGCCGCCGGAGGCUCUGAAGCCUUUCUGAGGCGAGGUCUUUGCACCUGAACGCUCUGGUAGAACAAGGUUUAGCAAAAGGGAGCCUGGAAGGGCCCAUCCUCACCUUCUGCCCAGUCCUGCAGGGCUCAGGACACAUCCUGGGGGCUAAUCUGUGGGAAGAGGUUUGACUGAGACCCCGUUCUGCUCUGUGAAUGGGCGGACUCUUCAGCAUCUCACACGGAGAAACAACUUCCUCCUGGAUCGGAGCCCAAGUCAGGGAUAAGGUGCCUCCUGCCUGCACCGUGGGCACUGGCCGCCUUGUUACAGAAUCAACGGCCGUCCACUGAGGGACACCGGGUGCCAGGGGUCCUAACACCCCUCCAGAGCACCCGGCACAGCUCUCCUUGGAGCUGGGUGCUACCCUUAGUCUCGUUUUGAAGACAGGACUGGGCGGUCAGGUCAGCCCAUCCUCACACUGCGGUGAGUAGCGGGGGCAGGAGCAGCCUUGCUGUGGGCCACGCCCUGGGCAAUGAGCGGUGGCUCCUUGGGGGAUCUCAGAUUUUUCCAAGUCUGUUUUCUAUAUGGCUGAACGAUGUGACAAAACACUUGUCAAGGACACCCUCUCAGGUGCUCUGAUCUGCAUCUUUCACGAGCGAGAGGGGGGGUGCCAGGCACUUCCUGGUGGACCUUCAGUUACCGCCCAUCAGAACACAAGCAGGCAGCGCGAAACAUGCUGGGCCCGGGGGCUCCAUCGCCCUUUACACUGCCACACUCAGCUUCCACAUGUUCUACUGUGGGCGUGUGCCCCUCCUUCAUGUUUCUGGGGUUCAUGGGGACAUUAGUGUUGUCCUUCCCUUUCUGUCUCAAAGAAUUGACUGUGCCUGUCAUUGGACGCAGCGGCUGCCAUGAAUGUCGACCGGGAAAGCGAUGGGAAAAGCUGUUCAGACACAGCUGAGCUGCCUCUACCUGGUCACCUGCACGCCAGGCCCAUGCAGUCUGCUCCAUCCCUGUCCCUGGCAGAGCCCAUCUGGGAGUGGUGGUGACUGUGCCAGCUGGAGACCCACUGAGCACCAGGGUGCAGCACAGACAACGACGCCCUCAGGCUGCGUGCAGUGAAGAGCCGGGAGAGGCAGCGCUAGAAUUGUUUUUAGGAACUGGAUUUGGGCUUAAAGAAUAAACAAUGUGGUUCAGCCACGCUAACCCAAAUACACUGUUUAAUCCUUGCAGUUAAAAAGUUUAAGUAGCACAGAUGAAGACUAUAACUUGCAUAAACGAUUUUUGUGUCAAUUUUUAAAAAGCAUAUUUGUUCAUAUAGGUACCACUAACUUAAUUGCACAAAACACAUUUAAAAGCAUCUUCCCUCUUUUUCAAUGGUUAUGUUAGUUCCAAUCAACAACCAAUUGUGCUAUGAUUAUUCAAGUCUAAGAGUAUUUAUCUAUGACCGCUAAACAAACCAGACAGUUUGGCAAGGACACAGGCCUCAGAAUUAUCAGACAUCAGAACGUCCUGCAGGACUGCUCCUUCUUUAGAGUUGUCAUUUUCCUUUACACUAAAGCAAUACAGGAAACAAAAAAGGCCGUCGUGAUGCCACCCACGGCCUACGGGGGCAUGUUCCUAUUGCCUCUUCCUGUCGCAGCGUCCCCAUCCGCCUCACUUUCCGUCCAGCAGGCUCCCUUCUAAGGCCCACCGUCCCACUGGACACAGCGUAAUUAAACCUGCAGCAGGAACGCAAUUGUCCCCAGCUUACUCCACCAUCCUCUGAGGGACAGAAAAGUGCAUAUUCUUCAGAGGACAAGUCAUCAAAAAUAACUUUUUAAAAAGAGCAAAACAAAACAGGAAAGACAUUCUCCUCCAUUCCUAUAACUAAGAGAUAAUUAUAAAAAGUAUUUGCUAACCUUCCCAGAAAAUACACCUUUAGCUAAAGUUAGUCUUGUAACCUAAGAGGGUAAUAAUUUGGGUAGGACACAGAUAGAACCAGAAAUAUCUCAGGCCAAAUCCUAUUCUUAAAUAACUAACUUCUAAGAUGUCUCCCAAUGACAUUUGCUGUACUCAGCUUUGACAAUAUCUAAUAAUUCUUGGAGUAAGAACGCCAUUUGAUGGUGGUUGAAAACCUUAAUGAACAUAUGGAUUUUCAUGGCUGUGGCGUUCAUUACAAAGGGGCAUGAUAGAUGUGUUUACUGACUGUUUUAUGGUUUCAUUGAAUUGCUGAAUACACAGCUUUCAAUUUUUCCAUCUGACAUACACAUUUAGACUUGUAUGGCUCUCAUUUAAGGUAUUACAGUAGAUAUGAGCUAAGUACAUAAAAAUAUGGUUAAAGCCACAAAUUAGAGAUCAGAAAAUAGGAAGCGAAGAGGAAAACGCUUUUGUUCCACUGUACGUAUAUCGUGUCUGAUGCAGAGGUGGCUUCGGUGUGUGCGCCAAGGUAACUGAAGAGGCCGCCUCUCAUGUGGGUUUUUUAAUUUUUUGAGAAGAAGCAACCUCUUAGAAAGUCUACCAUAAAUGUUUCCUCCUUCACAAGCAAAUAUCUGGAUUUUCCAUAACCUCCUACAUGAAGCCUCCACCACGGCCUCCUCGGUCCACCCUAAACUGUCCGACACUGCUGGGCGCCCGGCGCUCGGCUGAGAAACGGGGUAAGAACAAGGGCGGUUCUGCCACUCCACAGUCGAGGAGCCACCACAUUCUGAAAACGCAGGGUCGCAGCGUCUCUAGAACCCUUCUUUACGAUUCUGCAUUUUUCAAAGAUGCUUUGUAAAGCAGUGGAAAAUAACAGCUUCUCAAGUUUCAUUAAAAAGUAAGUUCUCAAGUCCAGGACCUAUUUCAGCCUUCACUUAUUUUUAUCUUUUUCAUCGCAAUAAGCCACCGCCACAGGGCCUGCUAUUUUUGGAAGGAGAGGACGGGACAACGGAGGGACGGCCUGACAAGUCACAGUUUUCAUAAAACAAGCCCCUCAUCUGGACGCAGCUGGUGGUGGGGAGCGGGACCGCCACUCGGGACGUCAGCCAUUAAGACAGAAUAAUUUUCCUACCUUAACUGCCUGCUUCCUUAUUUAGCCUGAAUGUUGCACAGAAUGCAAACGCCGUGUGGAAACUGCCAGGGUUCAGGGUACAGGACCACGUGCCUGGGAGAUUCCGACAGGCUGUCCUUCCGCCCCCCACCGAGACGGCAUGCGGGCGCGUGUUUCCACGGAUCUAGUCCGUCUUAUCUGCACCAAACUGCCAUUCCAGUCACUCACUGGGAUCAUUAAACCACCACUUGCAGUUUUCCAGGGCUUUCUUUGUUCUACUAGGAAGUAUAUGCCCCCAAAUUAUGAAAUUCCAUUUCAAACAGAAUUAACAGAAUUUAAAAAAUAAAAAUGUUA